UACGUAGGGUGCAAGCGUUGUCCGGAAUUAUUGGGCGUAAAGAGCUCGUAGGCGGUCUGCCGCGUCGGCUGUGAAAACUCGGGGCUCAACUCCGAGCUUGCAGUCGAUACGGGCAGGCUAGAGUUCGGCAGGGGAGACUGGAAUUCCUGGUGUAGCGGUGAAAUGCGCAGAUAUCAGGAGGAACACCGGUGGCGAAGGCGGGCUCCUGGGCCGAUACUGACGCUGGAGGAGCGAAAAGCCGGGUGGGAGAAAC
RNAcentral lists this ribosomal RNA (253 nucleotides) under uncultured bacterium. RNAcentral describes it as "partial 16S ribosomal RNA". It matches the Rfam family "Bacterial small subunit ribosomal RNA", at positions 524 to 775 of the family's 1533-position model. The record is from RNAcentral.